ACGGCUCAGUAACACGUGGCCAAGCUACCCUCUGGACUGGAACACUCUCGGGAAACUGAGGCUAAUUCCAGAUAUGGCUUCCAUCCUGGAAUGGAGGAAGCCGAAAACGCUCCGGCGCCAGAGGAUGCGGCUGCGGCCGAUUAGGUAGACGGUGGGGUAACGGCCCACCGUGCCGAUAAUCGGUACGGGUCAUGAGAGUGAGAGCCCGGAGACGGUAUCUGAGACAAGAUACCGGGCCCUACGGGGCGCAGCAGGCGCGAAACCUUUACACUGCGCGACAGCGCGAUAGGGGGACUCCAAGUGCGAGGGCAUAUCGUCCUCGCUUUUCUGUACCGUAAGGAGGUACAGGAAUAAGGGCUGGGCAAGACCGGUGCCAGCCGCCGCGGUAAUACCGGCAGCACGAGUGAUGGCCGCUCUUAUUGGGCCUAAAGCGUCCGUAGCUGGCCGCGCAAGUCCAUCGGGAAAUCCGCACGCCUAACGUGCGGGCGUCCGGUGGAAACUGCGUGGCUUGGGACCGGAAGAUCCAGAGGGUACGUCCGGGGUAGGAGUGAAAUCCUGUAAUCCUGGACGGACCACCGGUGGCGAAAGCGCUCUGGAAAGACGGAUCCGACGGUGAGGGACGAAAGCUCGAGUCACGAACCGGAUUAGAUACCCGGGUAGUCCGAGCUGUAAACGAUGUCUGCUAGGUGUGCCACAGGCUACGAGCCUGUGGUGUGCCGUAGGGAAGCCGUGAAGCAGACCGCCUGGGAAGUACGUCCGCAAGGAUGAAACUUAAAGGAAUUGGCGGGGGAGCAC
RNAcentral lists this ribosomal RNA (795 nucleotides) under uncultured Natronococcus sp. RNAcentral's name for it is "bacterial SSU rRNA". It matches the Rfam family "Archaeal small subunit ribosomal RNA", at positions 85 to 879 of the family's 1478-position model. The record is from RNAcentral. Lineage: Archaea; Methanobacteriati; Methanobacteriota; Halobacteria; Halobacteriales; Natrialbaceae.